RNAcentral lists this transfer RNA (73 nucleotides) under Pteropus alecto (black flying fox). It matches the Rfam family "tRNA". Rfam says of the family: Transfer RNA (tRNA) molecules are approximately 80 nucleotides in length. Their secondary structure includes four short double-helical elements and three loops (D, anti-codon, and T loops). Lineage: Eukaryota; Metazoa; Chordata; Mammalia; Chiroptera; Pteropodidae. The record is from Rfam by way of RNAcentral.
GAUUCCAUAGUAUAGCGGUUAGCACGUCUGCUUUAUACACAGAAAGUCCUGGGUUCCUUCCCCAGUGGAGCCA